RNAcentral lists this ribosomal RNA (203 nucleotides) under uncultured bacterium. RNAcentral's name for it is "partial 16S ribosomal RNA". It matches the Rfam family "Bacterial small subunit ribosomal RNA", at positions 524 to 725 of the family's 1533-position model. The record is from RNAcentral.
UACGAAGGGGGCUAGCGUUGUUCGGAAUUACUGGGCGUAAAGCGCGCGUAGGCGGAUCUGCAAGUCGGGGGUGAAAUCCCGAGGCUCAACCUCGGAACUGCCUUCGAUACUGCGGGUCUCGAGUCCGGGAGAGGUGGAGUGGAAUUCCUAGUGUAGAGGUGAAAUUCGUAGAUAUUAGGAAGAACACCAGUGGCGAAGGCGGC